CCAAUAGCGUAUAUUAAAGUUGUUGCAGUUAAAAAGCUCGUAGUUGAAUUUCGGGGUCAGUAGAUUGGUCUUGCCACUGGUAUGUACUGGUCUCACUGGUUCCUCCUUCCUGAUGAACCGUAAUGCCAUUAAUUUGUUGUUGCGGGGAGACUGGACUGUUACUUUGAAAAAAUUAGAGUGUUUAAAGCAGGCUAACGCUUGAAUACAUUAGCAUGGAAUAAUGAAAUAUGACGUUCGAUCUUAUUUUGUUGGUUUCUAAGAUUGACGUAAUGAUUGAUAGGGAUAGUUGGGGGCAUUAGUAUUCAAUUGUCAGAGGUGAAAUUCUUGGAUUUAUUGAAGACUAACUACUGCGAAAGCAGUUGCCAAGGAUGUUUUCAUUAAUCAAGAAAGAAAGUUAGGGGAUCGAAGACGAUCAGAUACCGUCGUAGUCUUAACCAUAAACUAUGCCGACUAGGGAUCGGAUGAUGUUAAUUUUUUAAUGACUCAUUCGGCGCCUUACG
RNAcentral lists this ribosomal RNA (500 nucleotides) under uncultured Glomus. Its description in RNAcentral is "SSU rRNA". It matches the Rfam family "Eukaryotic small subunit ribosomal RNA", at positions 591 to 1092 of the family's 1831-position model. The record is from RNAcentral. Lineage: Eukaryota; Fungi; Glomeromycota; Glomeromycetes; Glomerales; Glomeraceae.